GUGUGUGUGUGAUGGGACGCGCAGCACCGUUUCUUCAGUUCGGCUGUGGCUGCGCCGAGCUGAGGAAGUGGGGUGCGCGACUGCUCUCUGCUGGCCGAUGCUUUAUAAUUUCAAAUACAAAACAAUGGGUGAACAAAAGGAGGCAGUUGUACAUCUAAAAUGUGUAGCACGAAUAGCAAACAUUCCCCUCAUUGAGACUAGCUGGACAUAUGCAUCAGACUUUUACACAAAAGUAAAGGUAUCAAAUCCUCUCUUCAACUGGGGCUUGUCAACUGCUGAAGCCACAGUCCAAGCUGCUGUGGAACGUACAAAACCAAUUGUGUCAAAAUUUGAAGUCCCAUUAAGUCUUGCAGAUUCACUUGUAUGCAAGAGCUUAGACCUUGUAGAAAAACAAUUGCCUGUUAUCACACUUCCUCCUGAACUGAUUUUUGUCAGCACCAAGGAUUAUGUGAGCUCAACAAUUGUGCAACCUGUUCUCAAGAGAGCAGACUCAGUUAAACAAUUUGGCAGAGAACAAGCACAUACAGUUCUUGAGAGCAAAUAUACAAAUUUUGCAGCUUACAGACUGGACAGUGCACUUGAUUUGGCAGAUAAAUAUAUCGACCAAUAUCUUCCACCCACCGAAGGCACACAAGAGGAAUCAAUUGAAACAAAUAAUACUACAGGAAGCAAAGCAGUCCAGGCACUUCACAAAGCAGACCGAGUGACAAAAAAACUUCAGAGGCGCUUAACACAGCGUACCCUGGCAGAGGCGAGAGCCCUUAAGAAGCAAAGUGAAGACACAUUGCAAACUUUAAUGUACUUAGGUGAAUUGCUUGUCAAAGACCCAAAAGCUGUUUUUGAACUAAGCAAGGAUCUGUGGGCCCAUCUGAGUCAAGAUGAACCAGAAAACCAGGCCCCGCCAACAACACUUGAACAACUAAUGGUCAUGCUUACUCGUGAAUCAGCCCGCAGGAUAGUCCAUCUUUUCAACUACACACGAUCUGCUGUUGUAGCUUUGCCACAUAAUGUUAAUGUAUCCCUUCACAAAGCUGCUGGAUUCUGUUCAGAUCUUUCUGAUGCUUUAGUUAAGGCAGCCCAUCUGGAAGAAGCAAGAAAUAAAGUUAUAUCAAAUGCCAGGCAGAGAAUAUUAUUUAUUCAGAAACUGAUUUCAGAUAUCAACUCUUAUGCGACUAAUCAACUUGGAAUUGUGCAUCAUUAUUGCACUACAUCAGCACAGACACUCUACAAGAUGUGCUACUGUCAGAUUUUGCAGCGUUUGAGGAGAGCAGAUUGCCACAAAAUGGUGGCUAUGCAUGAGAACAGUGACCAGCAACUCAGCCAUGGCAACGCAUCUGCCCAUGCAACACAACAUGGGCAGAAAUUUCCCCCUAAGAACCACUUUCCAGAGUUCCAGCAGCCACUUUUUCUGCCAGAUCCUGCAUCCAGUGAUCUUUUCCUCCCCCUGAGAAACAACAACCAUUGGGAAAGAGAAAGAUAUCAAGAGAUACACCAGAAUCUGCUGAGGGAGCUGUCCCCUAUUUCCGAAGAUGACUUCUAAAAAUGCUUCGUGCAGUAGAAACAACACUGGGCUAAAUGUGUGGCUUCAGAAUGGGACUGCUUUGCAGGAGACGCUGACAAAGUCAAGUUCCAGAAAGGGAGAGGGCAAGAAAGCACCAUCUUCUAGAAAUGGAGAAGUCCAACCUACUGAAAACAAAUCUGCUGUGACCAAAAAUCGACGUUAAUGUAACAUAUGUCAUGCUUAUUUUCGAGAAAAAAAUUCAUUGAUUUAUUUGGUGGAGAA
Schistocerca piceifrons (Central American locust) is the source of this 1783-nucleotide RNA transcript. It is a transcript of the gene named lipid storage droplets surface-binding protein 1, with no coding region annotated. Lineage: Eukaryota; Metazoa; Arthropoda; Insecta; Orthoptera; Acrididae. The transcript has 9 exons. The record is from RefSeq and is a predicted model, not a curated record.